RNAcentral lists this long non-coding RNA (304 nucleotides) under Homo sapiens (human). Its description in RNAcentral is "HSALNT0253633". The record is from RNAcentral. Lineage: Eukaryota; Metazoa; Chordata; Mammalia; Primates; Hominidae.
UGCUCUUCUCUUCAAGUCCUGAGUAUCACAAAAAGUCCCCAACUCCCAACUUCAGAAGAGGAGGUUAAGUGCUGAUGAAGAGUGAGAUAUUAUCUUUGAGAAACAAGAAAAUCCGUGCUAAGAAGAUGAAGGUGCGAGUGAAUAUCGUGAUGGGUGCAGUUAUGCUGAAUAAUUGGAUGGGAGGACGUGCCAGGCGAUCUCCAGCCCCUGGGAGCCGGACGCCCACGCCUCCCUCUGCCUCGUUCUCACAGACACAUUUGUGGGGUGAUUAACUCAGGAAUUCAUGCUGCUCAAAGUAACUACA